UAGAGUUUGAUCAUGGCUCAGAUUGAACGCUGGCGGCAGGCUUAACACAUGCAAGUCGAGCGGGCGAGGUUGCUUCGGUAACUGAGCUAGCGGCGGACGGGUGAGUAAUGCUUAGGAAUCUGCCUAUUAGUGGGGGACAACAUUCCGAAAGGGAUGCUAAUACCGCAUACGUCCUACGGGAGAAAGCAGGGGCUCUUUAUGACCUUGCGCUAAUAGAUGAGCCUAAGUCGGAUUAGCUAGUUGGUGGGGUAAAGGCCCACCAAGGCGACGAUCCGUAGCUGGUCUGAGAGGAUGAUCAGCCACACUGGAACUGAGACACGGUCCAGACUCCUACGGGAGGCAGCAGUGGGGAAUUUUGGACAAUGGGGGAAAUCCUGAUCCAGCAAUGCCGCGUGAGUGAUGAAGGCCUUCGGGUUGUAAAGCUCUUUUAUCAGGGAAGAUGAUGACGGUACCUGAUGAAUAAGCUCCGGCUAACUUCGUGCCAGCAGCCGCGGUAAU
RNAcentral lists this ribosomal RNA (498 nucleotides) under uncultured bacterium. RNAcentral's name for it is "bacterial SSU rRNA". It matches the Rfam family "Bacterial small subunit ribosomal RNA", at positions 1 to 524 of the family's 1533-position model. The record is from RNAcentral.